GUGUCAGCAGCCGCGGUAAAACGUAGGAGACAAACGUUAUCCGGAGUUACUGGGCGUAAAGGGCGUGCAGGUGGUUGGUUAAGUUCGGCGUGAAAGCUUCUGGCUAAACCGGGAGAGGUCGUCGGAGACUGGCCAGCUAGAGGGUGAUAGAGGCGGGUGGAAUUCCGGGUGUAGUGGUGAAAUGCGUAGAGAUCCGGAGGAACACCAGUGGCGAAGGCGACCCGCUGGGUCACACCUGACACUGAGACGCGACAGCAUGGGGAGCGAACGGGAUUAGAAACCCUCGUAGUCC
This 292-nucleotide ribosomal RNA is filed under the name uncultured bacterium. RNAcentral's name for it is "partial 16S ribosomal RNA". It matches the Rfam family "Bacterial small subunit ribosomal RNA", at positions 505 to 796 of the family's 1533-position model. The record is from RNAcentral.